RNAcentral lists this ribosomal RNA (1064 nucleotides) under Rhytidhysteron rufulum. RNAcentral's name for it is "SSU rRNA". It matches the Rfam family "Eukaryotic small subunit ribosomal RNA", at positions 50 to 1123 of the family's 1831-position model. Lineage: Eukaryota; Fungi; Ascomycota; Dothideomycetes; Hysteriales; Hysteriaceae. The record is from RNAcentral.
CAUGCAUGUCUAAGUAUAAGCAAUUAUACCGUGAAACUGCGAAUGGCUCAUUAAAUCAGUUAUCGUUUAUUUGAUAGUACCUUACUACUUGGAUAACCGUGGUAAUUCUAGAGCUAAUACAUGCUAAAAACCCCGACUUCGGGAGGGGUGUAUUUAUUAGAUAAAAAACCAAUGCCCUUCGGGGCUCCUUGGUGAAUCAUUAUAACUUAACGGAUCGCAUGGCCUUGCGCCGGCGACGGUUCAUUCAAAUUUCUGCCCUAUCAACUUUCGAUUGUAGGGUAUUGGCCUACAAUGGUAUCAACGGGUAACGGGGAAUUAGGGUUCGAUUCCGGAGAGGGAGCCUGAGAAACGGCUACCACAUCCAAGGAAGGCAGCAGGCGCGCAAAUUACCCAAUCCCGACACGGGGAGGUAGUGACAAUAAAUACUGAUACAGGGCUCUUUUGGGUCUUGUAAUUGGAAUGAGUACAAUUUAAAUCCCUUAACGAGGAACAAUUGGAGGGCAAGUCUGGUGCCAGCAGCCGCGGUAAUUCCAGCUCCAAUAGCGUAUAUUAAAGUUGUUGCAGUUAAAAAGCUCGUAGUUGAACCUUGGGUCUGGCUGGCCGGUCCGCCUCACCGCGUGUACUGGUCCGGCCGGACCUUUCCUUCUGGAGAACCGCAUGCCCUUCACUGGGUGUGCCGGGGAACCAGGACUUUUACUUUGAAAAAAUUAGAGUGUUCAAAGCAGGCCUUUGCUCGAAUACAUUAGCAUGGAAUAAUAGAAUAGGACGUGCGGUCCUAUUUUGUUGGUUUCUAGGACCGCCGUAAUGAUUAAUAGGGAUAGUCGGGGGCAUCAGUAUUCAAUUGUCAGAGGUGAAAUUCUUAGAUUUAUUGAAGACUAACUACUGCGAAAGCAUUUGCCAAGGAUGUUUUCAUUAAUCAGUGAACGAAAGUUAGGGGAUCGAAGACGAUCAGAUACCGUCGUAGUCUUAACCGUAAACUAUGCCGACUAGGGAUCGGGCGAUGUUAUUCUUUUGACUCGCUCGGCACCUUACGAGAAAUCAAAGUUUUUGGGUUCUGGGGGGAG